AUUGAACGCUGGCGGCAGGCCUAACACAUGCAAGUCGAGCGGCUGAAGGGAGCUUGCUCCUGGAUUCAGCGGCGGACGGGUGAGUAAUGCCUAGGUAUCUGCCUGCUAGUGGGGGAUCACGUCCGGAAACGGGCGCUAAUACCGCAUACGUCCUGCUGGAGAACGUUGGGGAUCUUCGGACCUCCCGCUAUCAGAUUAGCCUAGGUCGGAUUAGCUGGUUGGUGGGGUAAAGGCCUACCAAGGCGACGAUCCGUAACUGGUCUGAGAGGAUGAUCAGUCACACUGGAACUGAGACACGGUCCAGACUCCUACGGGAGGCAGCAGUGGGGAAUAUUGGGCAAUGGGCGAAAGCCUGAUGCAGCCAUGCCGCGUGUGUGAAGAAGGUCUUCGGAUUGUAAAGCACUUUAAGUUGGGAGGAAGGGCAGUAAGUUAAUACCUGGCUGGUUUGACGGUACCAACAGAAUAAGCACCGGCUAACUUCGUG
Molecule: ribosomal RNA, 484 nt
Filed under: uncultured bacterium
Lineage: Bacteria
Description: partial 16S ribosomal RNA
Rfam family: Bacterial small subunit ribosomal RNA
Source: RNAcentral